CACAAAACAAGAUACUGUAAGGUUUUAUUUUUUUAUUUAUUGAGGGAGGGGGUGGACGGAGGAAAGGCUAAGCAGGAGUAUCAGGGUGGUGAAGAGGAGGAAAAGGUGUUCAUUUUCUACAGGGAGAUGUUUACUAUUUCCAUGAGACAGCCAAGAAAAAUUAAGAUUUAUGGUAGAUUCUGUAAUUCUAGGUCUAUGGCAUUGCAUGGGCAGAGAGAGGCACAAGCAAGGAGUAACAGUACUUCAGAUAAACCUUUAGAAGGAUCUACCAACAAAAUUAUUUCAUCUUUUCACAUUUCUGUGAAACCUCGUGAUGGAUUUGGAGCUGCCUGAAUCUGAGUUCCAUCCUGAGCUGGAACUCUAUUCCUCAUAUUGUACCUCCCAAGUUCUUUGCUGUGACCUGAGCAGGUUUUGUCCAAAGAUAUUUUAAUCAUUAUCACUCGUCACUCCAAAAUGGUCAGACACAGUUCAGAGCUGUAUUCUUCCUGUGAUUUUUGUUGGUCAACAGAGGGCCAGAGACAGAUCUGUACAUCACUUCAGUCCAACAAACCCUGUUGUGAGAGGCUUCCCUGGCAUUUAAGUGAGAUCCAUCACUGUAACAUGCACCUCCCAAGUGUUAUCACUGAAUUGUUUGCCAGCGUAUGUCUGAAUCAAAGAGAAGGGGCAGAAAGUGUCCUGGCUGAUGUGCAACCUUUUAAUGAUUUUCUUCUGCAAUCACUCACAGAAUGCCAUUUGAGGAGCUGUGAAAGAAUGACUUUUAAAACCCAAGCCAUUCUAUGAUUCUGUGAUUGUAAAACAAGACCUCAGACCUUCAUGAUCAUUUUCUUUACAUCAAAAGCUCAUUCUGAAUCUCAAGUGUAUUAAUUGCUCAAUCUUGUUAAUUCUUCAGUCCAAAAAAAAAAAAAAAAAAAAAAAAAAAAGAAUUAAUCCAAAACAAAAAGAACCCAAAUCUUUGAAAAAUAACCUAACUAGUCAGUGAUCC
Gallus gallus (chicken) is the source of this 982-nucleotide long non-coding RNA. Lineage: Eukaryota; Metazoa; Chordata; Aves; Galliformes; Phasianidae. The record is from Ensembl.